UAGGGAAUAUUGGACAAUGGGGGCAACCCUGAUCCAGCCAUGCCGCGUGAGUGAAGAAGGCCCUCGGGUUGUAAAGCUCUUUUGUCCGGAAAGAAAAGCAUUCGGUGAAUACCCGGAUGUUCUGACGGUACCGGAAGAAUAAGCACCGGCUAACUUCGUGCCAGCAGCCGCGGUAAUACGAAGGGUGCAAGCGUUACUCGGAAUUACUGGGCGUAAAGCGUGCGUAGGUGGUUGUUUAAGUCUGAUGUGAAAGCCCUGGGCUCAACCUGGGAAUGGCAUGGGAAACUGGGCAGCUAGAGUGCGGUAGAGGGUAGUGGAAUUCCCGGUGUAGCAGUGAAAUGCGUAGAGAUCGGGAGGAACAUCUGUGGCGAAGGCGACUGCCUGGACCAGCACUGACACUGAGGCACGAAAGCGUGGGGAGCAAACA
RNAcentral lists this ribosomal RNA (427 nucleotides) under uncultured bacterium. RNAcentral describes it as "bacterial SSU rRNA". It matches the Rfam family "Bacterial small subunit ribosomal RNA", at positions 355 to 774 of the family's 1533-position model. The record is from RNAcentral.